RNAcentral lists this non-coding RNA (32 nucleotides) under Mus musculus (house mouse). Lineage: Eukaryota; Metazoa; Chordata; Mammalia; Rodentia; Muridae. The record is from RNAcentral.
UGCUUCUGAUGUCACCUCCAACAAAUAGUGUU